AUUCCCGCUUCCCGCAUCCGGAAAUGUAAUCAUGUCCAUUUCCCGCACCGUUUUUUUUUUGUUUUAUAAAAAAUAUCAACAUUUGUUUUUAAAAUCACAUUCUAACCUGUAUAUAAUGAUUUUAAACAUAAAAGCACCCCUCCACACUUUGUAAAUAUCUGUGAGAAUAUUUGUUUCAGCAUGAAACAUAUUUAUCUAAAGCGGGAGUGCUCCGAUAUAAAUUUAUAACAGCGGGA
RNAcentral lists this long non-coding RNA (236 nucleotides) under Mytilus galloprovincialis (Mediterranean mussel). The record is from RNAcentral. Lineage: Eukaryota; Metazoa; Mollusca; Bivalvia; Mytilida; Mytilidae.